CAGUAGCCGCGGUAAUACGUAGGGUGCGAGCGUUAAUCGAAAUUACUGGGCGUAAAGCGUGCGCAGGCGGUUGUGUAAGACAGGUGUGAAAUCCCCGGGCUUAACCUGGGAACUGCGCUUGUGACUGCACAGCUAGAGUAUGGCAGAGGGGGGUGGAAUUCCACGUGUAGCAGUGAAAUGCGUAGAGAUGUGGAGGAACACCGAUGGCGAAGGCAGCCCCCUGGGCCAAUACUGACGCUCAUGCACGAAAGCGUGGGGAGCAAACAGGAUUAGAUACCCCUGUAGUCCCUGUCUCUUAUAA
This 301-nucleotide ribosomal RNA is filed under the name uncultured bacterium. RNAcentral's name for it is "partial 16S ribosomal RNA". It matches the Rfam family "Bacterial small subunit ribosomal RNA", at positions 509 to 809 of the family's 1533-position model. The record is from RNAcentral.